GUGUGUGUGCAACGUCUCUUUAGAUGUCAAGAAUCCGCAAGACGCUAUAAUAGACAGACAUCUUAUUAGACCAUGCUCAACCAAAGGAGCUAUUGAGAGAAUAAACUUCAACUUGGGUAUCUCCCCUAUUGAAGGUGAUUGGUCAAUUGUUGCUAAACGGAGUUGCGAUGUAAAAGAUAAAAUGGUUGUAUAUAUUUGAUGUAAGGACGAUGUUGUUUUCUUUAUGCAGGAUA
This is a long non-coding RNA of Corticium candelabrum, 233 nucleotides long. RefSeq lists it as uncharacterized. Lineage: Eukaryota; Metazoa; Porifera; Homoscleromorpha; Homosclerophorida; Plakinidae. The record is from RefSeq and is a predicted model, not a curated record. The transcript is spliced from 3 exons.